This 253-nucleotide ribosomal RNA is filed under the name uncultured bacterium. RNAcentral's name for it is "partial 16S ribosomal RNA". It matches the Rfam family "Bacterial small subunit ribosomal RNA", at positions 524 to 776 of the family's 1533-position model. The record is from RNAcentral.
UACGAAGGGGGCUAGCGUUGCUCGGAAUCACUGGGCGUAAAGGGUGCGUAGGCGGGUUUCUAAGUCAGAGGUGAAAUCCUGGAGCUCAGCUCCAGAACUGCCUUUGAUACUGGAGAGCUUGAGUCCGGGAGAGGUGAGUGGAACUGCGAGUGUAGAGGUGAAAUUCGUAGAUAUUCGCAAGAACACCAGUGGCGAAGGCGGCUCACUGGCCCGGUACUGACGCUGAGGUGCGAAAGCGUGGGGAGCAAACAGG